This 457-nucleotide long non-coding RNA is filed under the name Triticum aestivum (bread wheat). Its description in RNAcentral is "long non-coding RNA (TAES_LNC005388)". Lineage: Eukaryota; Viridiplantae; Streptophyta; Magnoliopsida; Poales; Poaceae. The record is from RNAcentral.
UACUUCUUUCUUCUUCCACCUGCUGCUGCUUCUCUUUAGAUCCACAAAAACUGCUGCUGCUGCUCUCUCUCUCUCUCUCUGAAUUUUCUAUAAGCUAAGAUGUGUAAAAUUUUGUAAUAUUCAGAUUUUUAAGAGUGUUGGCAACAUGUAGCUUGUUCUGUUUGGUACUUGUAAUAUAUAAUGCUUGUCUUGAAUUUCUGUAGGCUGUGAGAAAUAAUUGUCCUUGAAAUCUUGCUCUGUGAUUUAGUAACCUUCUAGUAUAUUUGUGUGAUCACCUUGUGUACUAGUCCCUGUACUAGUUCUCUGUACUUAUCCUAUUUGUAGUCUCUGUGUGUGUUAGCUCUAGUACCUGUGAUAUGUAUGAGUGUUUGUGUUGUGAUAUAUUUCUGUCCCUAUCAUAUUAGCUUGUUUCUUUCCUUCUGUCAUUGCUUGUUAUAUAUGUCUAUGUUUUUUUGAA